GGAAGGAUCAUUAAAACGUUCCAAUAACGUAUACCUUUGUCGAACUUGUUUAACUAUACACGUCUUUCUGUCGACUAAAGCUAGAGGUUUAAAAGCUAAUAGUAGUGGGGGUGGCUGUUCACGCAUUCCUUCUGUCUCUUCGGAGAUGGGGGUGGAGUGUAGAGUGGCCGUUAUACCUCAAAGCUGCCCUCUAGGUAUGUCUAGGACUUCUCUCCGGAGGAGUUCUGGUAUGCUGGCGCUAGACGUUUCGUUCACCACUGCUUUAUUUCAUUUUAACCACUUUUAUAUUUUGUCUAAUUGUUUUUAUAACAAAAAACAAAUUUACGAACAAUUCUUAGCAACGGAUAUCUUGGUUCUCGUAACGAUGAAGAACGCAGCGAAAUGCGAUACGUAAUGCGAAUUGCAGAAUUCAGUGAAUCAUCAAAUCUUUGAACGCAACUUGCGCUCUUGGGUAUCCCUGGGAGCAUACCUCUCUGAGUAUCGUUUCAAACCAAACUCGCCUGCGUGGCGGUGAAUGGAAGUCAUAAGUAAGCCUUAUGUCUUCUUAAGUAGAUAAGCUUUCAUUAAUAGUCAACGUUCGCUGAGUUCCUCUUCACGGAGGGGUUCAACCGCGCUGAUGUAUGAUAAGAUUUCUUCUGGGCUUCGGCUUGGGACUUGUCCAAAAUCAAACAUUGGCAAUGCGGAGAAUGCUGAUUCGAUAGCUUCAAAGACAAUCUCGAGUCACUCUGUGAUUCUUGACUCUGAUCUCAGAUGAAGUAAGAUUACCCGCCGAAUUUAAGCAUAUUAUUAAGCGGAGGAAAAGAAACUAACAAGGAUUCCCCUAGUAACGGCGAGUGAAGCGGGAAGAGCUCAAAGUUAAAAUCGGCGCUCUUAGCGGGGUGUCCGAAUUGUAAUCUAGAGACAUCAAUCCAGCUGUGACCUGGGUAUAAAUCUUUUUGAAACAGGGUAUCAUAGAGGGUGAGAAUCCCGUCUUUGACCUGGAGAUCGCAGCGUACGGAUGGUGCUCAACGAGUCGAAUAGCUUGGGAAUGCUGUUCAAAAUGGGUGGUAAAUUUCAUCUAAAGCUAAAUAUUGACGAGAGACCGAUAGCGAACAAGUACCGUGAGGGAAAGAUGAAAAGAACUUUGAAAAGAGAGUUAAAAAGUACUUGAAAUUGUUAAGAAGUAAGCACUGGAAACCAGUUGUGCCGGUCACUAUAUUCCACUCGGUCGUUUUGGAAUGGCGUUGUUGGCAGCGCAAGCGCUGGUGGCGUUAUUCUGGGGCGGUCGGGUGCAUCUGUGGUGGUUGGUGAGUCAGGAUCAGGUAGACCUGGAGGAGAAAGCAGUCUGAAGGUAAUUGUGCUUGCACAAGACUAAUCUGCGGGCUGUGCUACUCUGGGACUGCCUGAGGAAACAACGACAAGGCGCGCCGCAAGGCAGCAGGUGGGAUUACCUGCAUUCAUCGUGGGCUAGGAGAAUAAAUUCUGCUGGUUUGCGGUGGGUGUACUGUGGUUUCACAUGACAGCGUCUUCGCGAUCUUGACGAAAUGGUUUUCAUUGACCCGUCUUGAAACACGGACCAAGGAGUCUAACAUAUAUGCGAGUAUUUGGGUGUACAAACCCUGAUGCGCAAUGAAAGUGAAGGCAGCUUAUGUUGCUGAGGUAGGAACGCAAGGGCACUAUCGACCGAUCGUUCACUUGUGAAAGAUUUGAGUAAGAGCAUAUCUGUUGGGACCCGAAAGAUGGUGAACUAUGCCUGAACAGGGUGAAGCCAGGGGAAACUCUGGUGGAGGCUCGUAGCGAUACUGACGUGCAAAUCGUUCGUCUGAUUUGGGUAUAGGGGCGAAAGACUAAUCGAACUAUCGUAGUAGCUGGUUCCCGC
This 1858-nucleotide unclassified non-coding RNA is filed under the name uncultured fungus. Its description in RNAcentral is "sequence contains 18S rRNA gene, ITS1, 5.8S rRNA gene, ITS2, 28S rRNA gene". The stretch from base 742 to 1858 matches the Rfam family "Eukaryotic large subunit ribosomal RNA", at positions 1 to 961 of the family's 3401-position model. The record is from RNAcentral. Lineage: Eukaryota; Fungi.